Molecule: long non-coding RNA, 230 nt
Organism: Myxocyprinus asiaticus (Chinese sucker)
Lineage: Eukaryota; Metazoa; Chordata; Actinopteri; Cypriniformes; Catostomidae
Exons: 3
Source: RefSeq, a predicted model, not a curated record
AUUACUUUGGAGAGGAGCAAGAUCUCUUCCAAAAGUACAAUGCCUCAUGUCCUUCCAAACCAGGACGAGUUUCCCCUCUGUGAAACACAAAAGGAUGUGAUUGUGCUUCUAAUACAGAUGUUCAGCAAGAUCUCAUGCAGCACUUAAUGAAAAUUACUGUCAGCACAAGGGGUGAGCAGGAGGACUUCAUCAUCUUGGAGGGGGUCCAAGUCAUGACUGGGUUGGAAAAU